GAACUGCGAUAAGUAAUGUGAAUUGCAGAAUUCAGUGAAUCAUCGAGUCUUUGAACGCACAUUGCGCCCCCUGGCAUUCCGGGGGGCAUGCCUGUCCGAGCGUCAUUGCUGCCCCUCAAGCCCGGCUUGUGUGUUGGGUCGUCGUCCCCUCCGGGGGACGGGCCCGAAAGGCAGCGGCGGCACCGCGUCCGGUCCUCGAGCGUAUGGGGCUUUGUCACCCGCUCGAUAAGGACCGGCCGGGCGCCAGCCGGCGUCUCCAACCUUUUUUUCUCAGGUUGACCUCGGAUCAGGUAGGGAUACCCGCUGAACUUAAGC
This 315-nucleotide unclassified non-coding RNA is filed under the name plant metagenome. RNAcentral's name for it is "partial contains 5.8S ribosomal RNA, internal transcribed spacer 2, and large subunit ribosomal RNA". The stretch from base 1 to 105 matches the Rfam family "5.8S ribosomal RNA", at positions 50 to 154 of the family's 154-position model. The record is from RNAcentral.